Molecule: ribosomal RNA, 468 nt
Filed under: uncultured bacterium
Lineage: Bacteria
Description: partial 16S ribosomal RNA
Rfam family: Bacterial small subunit ribosomal RNA
Source: RNAcentral
GACGAACGCUGGCGGCGUGCUUAACACAUGCAAGUCGAACGGAAAGGCCCUGCUUUUGUUGGGUGCUCGAUUGGCGAACGUGUGAGUAACACGUGAGUAUCCUGCCCUUUACUUUGGUAUAACUUCAGGUAACUGGGUCUAAUACCGUAUAGGUGCUCCUGCUGCAUGGUGGGGGUUGGAAAGUUUCGGCGGUUGGGGAUGGACUCGCGGCUUAUCAGCUUGUUUGUUGGGUAGUUGCUUACCAAGGGUUUGACGGGUAGCCGGCCUGAGAGGGUGACCGGCGAAAUUGGGACUGAGAUACGGACCAGACUCCAACGGGAGGCAGCAGUGGGGAAUAUUGCACAAUGGGCGGAAGCCUGAUGCAGAAACGCGGCGUGCGGGAUGACGGCCUUCGGGUUGUAAAACGCUUUCGCCUGUGACGAAGCGUGAGUGACGGUAAUGGGUAAAGAAGCACCGGCUAACUACGUG